RNAcentral lists this ribosomal RNA (447 nucleotides) under uncultured bacterium. RNAcentral's name for it is "partial 16S ribosomal RNA". It matches the Rfam family "Bacterial small subunit ribosomal RNA", at positions 29 to 523 of the family's 1533-position model. The record is from RNAcentral.
AACGAACGCUGGCGGCAGGCUUAACACAUGCAAGUCGAGCGCCCCGCAAGGGGAGCGGCAGACGGGUGAGUAACGCGUGGGAAUCUACCCAUCUCUGCGGAACAACUCCGGGAAACUGGAGCUAAAACCGCAUACGCCCUUCGGGGGAAAGAUUUAUCGGGGAUGGAUGAGCCCGCGUUGGAUUAGCUAGUUGGUGGGGUAAAGGCCUACCAAGGCGACGAUCCAUAGCUGGUCUGAGAGGAUGAUCAGCCACAUUGGGACUGAGACACGGCCCAAACUCCUACGGGAGGCAGCAGUGGGGAAUAUUGGACAAUGGGCGCAAGCCUGAUCCAGCCAUGCCGCGUGAGUGAUGAAGGCCUUAGGGUUGUAAAGCUCUUUCACCGAUGAAGAUAAUGACGGUAGUCGGAGAAGAAGCCCCGGCUAACUUCGUGCCAGCAGCCGCGGUAA